UACUCCUACGGGAGGCAGCAGUGGGGAAUAUUGGACAAUGGGCGCAAGCCUGAUCCAGCCAUACCGCGUGGGUGAAGAAGGCCUUCGGGUUGUAAAGCCCUUUUGUUGGGAAAGAAAUCCAGCCGGCUAAUACCUGGUUGGGAUGACGGUACCCAAAGAAUAAGCACCGGCUAACUUCGUG
RNAcentral lists this ribosomal RNA (181 nucleotides) under uncultured Stenotrophomonas sp. RNAcentral's name for it is "partial 16S ribosomal RNA". It matches the Rfam family "Bacterial small subunit ribosomal RNA", at positions 334 to 507 of the family's 1533-position model. The record is from RNAcentral. Lineage: Bacteria; Pseudomonadati; Pseudomonadota; Gammaproteobacteria; Lysobacterales; Lysobacteraceae.